ACCCCAUCACACCAAAGAGGAUUAUACUAUUAAAGAUACAGUGAAGUGAAUUUUAACAAAUCCAAAUUCAAAUCCAGUGGACUUAAACCAGCAAGAUUAACACCAAAGCGUUAUUAAGCGUUUUUUCACCAUUGCAAGGGUAAACACACAACAAAUCCGACGCACAGAAUUAUAUAUCGAUGAUCAACUGAUUAAUCAAAAUUCUGGUGCUAAAUUCAUAGUUUAUUUCUAAUCACCUGGUAUGAAAUUGCAUGCAAAUUUAACAAUAUGAGGUUGCUGCAACCGAUAGAAAACUAUCUUUUUUUCUCAUAG
Molecule: unclassified non-coding RNA, 312 nt
Filed under: Hevea brasiliensis (rubber tree)
Lineage: Eukaryota; Viridiplantae; Streptophyta; Magnoliopsida; Malpighiales; Euphorbiaceae
Source: RNAcentral